AGUGAACGCUGGCGGCAGGCCUAAUACAUGCAAGUCGAACGGCAGCACAGUGGAGCUUGCUCCAUGGGUGGCGAGUGGCGGACGGGUGAGGAAUACAUGGGAAUCUGCCCAGUCGUGGGGAUAACGUAUGGAAACGUACGCUAAUACCGCAUGCGCCCUUCGGGGAAAGGUCGGGGACCGCAAGGCCUGACGCGAUUGGAUGAGCCCAUGUUCGAUUAGCUAGUUGGCGGGGUAACGGCCCACCAAGGCGACGAUCGAUAGCUGGUCUGAGAGGAUGAUCAGCCACACUGGAACUGAGACACGGUCCAGACUCCUACGGGAGGCAGCAGUAGGGAAUAUUGGACAAUGGGCGCAAGCCUGAUCCAGCCAUGCCGCGUGAAGUGAAGAAGGCCCUCCGGGUUGUAAAAGCUCUUUUGUUUGGGGAAGAAAAAGACAGUUGGUUAAAUACCCGAUUGUUCUGACGGUAACCCAAAGAAUAAAGCACCGGCU
RNAcentral lists this ribosomal RNA (489 nucleotides) under uncultured bacterium. RNAcentral describes it as "bacterial SSU rRNA". It matches the Rfam family "Bacterial small subunit ribosomal RNA", at positions 29 to 498 of the family's 1533-position model. The record is from RNAcentral.